This is a long non-coding RNA of Archocentrus centrarchus (flier cichlid), 1441 nucleotides long. RefSeq lists it as uncharacterized. Lineage: Eukaryota; Metazoa; Chordata; Actinopteri; Cichliformes; Cichlidae. The transcript has 4 exons. The record is from RefSeq and is a predicted model, not a curated record.
CUGGGACGCGCAUAAUCCUGUCCUCACGAAAGCCGUCAGACCACCACGUAGAUUAUAACUCGGCGGAUCAUCACUUUUCCCCCCCCUCCCAGGUUGUUUGUAUUUAACCAAACGCAGACAGUGACAGUCUUAAGUUCCCCUCAGAACCAAAACAGCACACAGCAGCUGCAGCAGCCGGACUGAACACCUUAACAUGUCGUUGUUUCUCGGUUUCCACUCGUGCCUGUUGCGCUGUGGACUCGAGACAUUUGCAGCACAUGGUGCGCUGUUACGAGAUGUGAAUCAAAGCGGGAAGAGCUUCCAAAAUUCACACCCUGACCGGACAUUUACCAUCUCUGCUCUUAUAAUUGGCAGUAAGAUGGGGUUUGAGCUACAAGCACAAACAAUUUUGGCCAAAGAGCGAAAUUAGGCAAACACAGGCUGGCGGUUGUACAACGCAACAGAUUUCCCCUCUCUGGUUUUUCCACAUGGAGACUACCUGACAUGCUGCUGAAGCCGUGAUGGAGGGAGGAGGUUAUAGGCCAGUGCCCCCCCUUCCCCCUCCCCCUCCCCCAGCCCCUCUCCUCGAUGCAUGUUAUAUAGCAGGUGAGAAACAUUAAUAGAGGCAGCAGCUGCAGCCCUCUGCUCCACACAUGUGGGCCAGGAUAUGAGCUAGCUUGAGCUCUCCCACUCUUAACUCUGGACAGUUAAUGUUAUCAAGAACCACAGAAAACUGUACUGACAAACUGAAACCAAAAUUAAUCUACUUGCUUAUUUUUCACGUUAAUCAUGAGAAAUAAGCAAGCUUCUCAGGCACCACCCACCCUAGCUUCUAAAAGGUAUGUGAUAUCUGUGAAUAUAAUCAUAUAUUUUAAUAUUUUUGAGGUUAGAGUUGUUUACUGGUUGCAUUUGAAUUGUGGAAAUAUUUUGGCUAUGCAAAUUUCUUGAGACAUGUGUGCCUUGUUGGAUCAUUUGAAUUCCCCCCUCAGCUUGGGACAUGAACUGGAAGACCCAGUUGUCACAUUGUGUUCUGAACACACAGACUUUGGUCACAGCGGUGAGGUGUCCCAGAGGAGAGUGGCAUGUUUCUGUGAAUCAUAACCGCUGUUCUGUGUUCAGUGAGCUGUGUCGAAGCGGAUUACCUGCAUGAACGGGGACCUGAAAGGACUUUGUUUUUAAAGACUGUCCUUUGGGGUGAGGUAGUAGGUUGUAUAGUUUUAGGGUCAUACCCUUCCUGUCAGAUAACUAUACAACUUACUGUCUUUCCUGAAGUGGCUGUAAUGUCGUCAGAUCCCUUUGCUGGAGCGCAUGGAUCCAGAGCAGCCCACUGAUUUCUAACAGCGUUUGAUAGCAGUGAGUCAUUGAGGAUUGCAGCCGCUUUAAGUCGAUCAUUUUCCGUUUUUCUUCAUUUUCAUUGAUGUUUAGGAAUUGACUGUCAAUAAAAUAUGAUUGUGUUUUCAUU